AGAAUCAACGCUGGCGGCGUGCCUAACACAUGCAAGUCGAACGAGAAAGUGGAGCAAUCCAUGAGUAAAGUGGCGCACGGGUGAGUAACACGUGACUAACCUACCCUUGAGUGGGGGAUAACCUAGGGAAACCUGGGCUAAUACCGCAUAAUACCUUCGGGUCAAAGGAGCAAUUCGCUUAAGGAGGGGGUCGCGGCCGAUUAGUUAGUUGGCGGGGUAAUGGCCACCAAGACUGUGAUCGGUAU
RNAcentral lists this ribosomal RNA (245 nucleotides) under uncultured bacterium. RNAcentral describes it as "partial small subunit ribosomal RNA". It matches the Rfam family "Bacterial small subunit ribosomal RNA", at positions 26 to 286 of the family's 1533-position model. The record is from RNAcentral.